GCCCUGGGAAGUUCGGCGGCGCGGAAACACCCCCGCGGGAUCGGGGCACCUUACCUGUCGGCUGGCACUCCUCGGGGAAAGGCUAAUGAUCUGGACUGAUUUUGCCCUCCUCGGGGAAGGUCUUUGCUUCUGGUCCAUGUGCUAUCCAUUUCCCUUUCUGCUGGGAUAUUUCACAAAACCACUCAAAAACCUUCAUCCCUGCUUCGGCUUUCUUCUGGGAAGAGGAUCUGUAUUGAGUCAGUGGAAGCUAUGAGUUAGUCUGGAGCCCAUCCAGGGAUGGGUGUUAAGAGCUUGCUGCAUUUCAAAGCUUUUCUGAAGAAGGCUUCACACACUCCUCUUGUAAAGCAAAUGUCCGUUUUUUACCUCUCAGCCUGGGAUUGCUGACGUGAGACUGAAUAUAGAUACAAGAAUUGCAUGAGCUUCAGCCAUGCAAUCUGAAAUGGGAUAAUCCCUUUUGCAUUUUAUCACAGGAGAGCUCUAAAGAUAACUGUGCUGAUAUUUGUGGAGAGGUCCAAUUUCCCAGCAAUUCAUGCUUCAGAGGAACACACGAGGAAAAACUGAUUACCUACAUUUCAUGCAGCUCAGUGCUUAGUCAGAGUGACACAGGACCCCUGCAUGGAAGACUUGGAAAAAGAGGACUGCUGAACAGCUGCCCAUCACACAGCAUCCUAUGCAACAAUUGAAGCAGGAGUGUGGAAAACACCGUAUGUGAUCAUGUAAUUAACAAAUGUACCAUAAUGCCUCAGCAUAAGGGAGCUAAAUUAAGCUAUGGAUGCAUAAUCUAGCUUGCAUGUAAGAUCUUCAUAAACUGUAUCCCUUUUAUUGUUAUCAAGUGGAUGCUCCAGGCAAUAAACAACACUGUAGUUAGAUUUCCUUGCCUGGGCACACAGCUGCUAAAUUCUGCAUUUAUUAGUGGUGUCUGAGAGGGAGGCUGCUGUUAUUGAUGAGAGACUGUACAAGGAAUGGUUGCAGUAUUGCAACUCCCUCUCAGUAAAAAUGGCUAGGAAAAAUGUAGCACUUAAAAAUUACUGUGCUUGGGGAGGAAUCCACAGCAUUCUACAUGGCACCUGAAUAAGUGGAAUAUAGGAUAGUUUUGAACAGAAUAACUCUAUGGACUGAAUGAUGGCUACUUCCACAUAUUUACCUAAUAUGAUGCUCAGCAUGGUUGUAAUUGUGUGUUUGGUAAUGGCAUUAUUAAGCUGAAUUAAUGGUUCGUACGAUAUAUCUUAAUUCUCAAUAAAGGUGCUUAAAUAUUUCAGGCUCAGAGAGACUACUGGGUGCGAAAGAUAUAUGUGAAAAGGAAAAGACUGAUGCGCCCAUUUUUCAUUUUCUUUAUGGAUGGACCUGAUAACAGUCACCCUGCUUCACAGUCUGCCUGGGAAGAAAUGAUUUACAUUUCUGCUUUGCAGCAUGUUGCCUUCCCUGGGUGAAUGCCAUGCUGGGUAUCAUCCGGCUCACCGCUCCGUGAAGACCAGAUUCCUCACUCUGAGCCAUGACAGGUCUGUGGUCCACCAAGAUAAAACUUAUUAAUGUGGAAAUUUCAUGUACAGUAAGGGGUGUUGGAAGGAGGGCACCCCCCAUGCACUGAAGGAUGCUGCAAUGCCAUCCACAACCUGAGCUGAUUCAUAUUUGUGUUUCUCACAGAAGUGUUAAAAUGUACACAGCCUUCAGUUACCAAAUAAAUGCAAUACCUGCA
Taeniopygia guttata (zebra finch) is the source of this 1696-nucleotide non-coding RNA. NCBI's taxonomy places the organism in Eukaryota, Metazoa, Chordata, Aves, Passeriformes, Estrildidae. The record is from RefSeq and is a predicted model, not a curated record.